RNAcentral lists this long non-coding RNA (484 nucleotides) under Chinchilla lanigera (long-tailed chinchilla). RNAcentral describes it as "lncRNA (ENSCLAG00000025826.1)". The record is from RNAcentral. Lineage: Eukaryota; Metazoa; Chordata; Mammalia; Rodentia; Chinchillidae.
GGAAGUAUGUGCUUAUUUCCUUACUUGUCCUGAAUUUCGCUCUGAGCCAAGGUGUGCUUUGCGAAACAUUUCCCAUCCAGCCUGCAGCAGCAAGAGCCAGGCAAGUGCCAUUUGCAGUGCCCACAGAGCAGAAGGGAACCACUCAGCAACAGAACAAAGAUCAAGUGCUGUGUCCACACAUCAGGGUCGUGCUCAGCCAUGAGAAGGAGCCGGCUCAUUCUCGGGCAGUUACUCAGAGGAUAGAAGGAGGACAAGCCAGACGGAAGAUCCUGCUGGAUUCCACUGAUAACGGUUCCAAAACCAGACAAAUCAAGUCUACAGUACUGGAGUAAUCCCAGUAAUCCCAGUGAACUGGCUAUGUUCUUUUUUUAAAUCUGGGUGCUGUUUAUAUGAGCGUAUGAACUUUGCAGAAACAUACUAAGCCUAUGACUCUAUCAUUUGCUUAUUGUGUACUGUUCUUUAAUAAAAAAAACUUAUAUUAGAA